RNAcentral lists this ribosomal RNA (432 nucleotides) under Morganella morganii. Its description in RNAcentral is "bacterial SSU rRNA". It matches the Rfam family "Bacterial small subunit ribosomal RNA", at positions 338 to 788 of the family's 1533-position model. The record is from RNAcentral. Lineage: Bacteria; Pseudomonadati; Pseudomonadota; Gammaproteobacteria; Enterobacterales; Morganellaceae.
CCUACGGGGGGCUGCAGUGGGGAAUAUUGGACAAUGGGCGAAAGCCUGAUCCAGCAAUGCCGCGUGAGUGAUGAAGGCCUUAGGGUUGUAAAGCUCUUUUACCCGGGAUGAUAAUGACAGUACCGGGAGAAUAAGCUCCGGCUAACUCCGUGCCAGCAGCCGCGGUAAUACGGAGGGAGCUAGCGUUAUUCGGAAUUACUGGGCGUAAAGCGCACGUAGGCGGCUUUGUAAGUUAGAGGUGAAAGCCUGGGGCUCAACUCCAGAAUUGCCUUUAAGACUGCAUCGCUUGAAUCCAGGAGAGGUGAGUGGAACUCCGAGUGUAGAGGUGAAAUUCGUAGAUAUUCGGAAGAACACCAGUGGCGAAGGCGGCUCACUGGACUGUAUUGACGCUGAGGUGCGAAAGCGUGGGGAGCAAACAGGAUUAGAUACCCU